CGAUAUACCUGUGCGUAGCCGAUUUUGUAUCAUUAUUAUUUGUCCUUUCGGCCUGAACACAUCAAAAUUUGUUGUCUAGUCUCAAAUUAUUUCUUUUGUUCGGUUCAAAAACUUGUACGGAUUGAUCAUGUGUUGCGGACCCUGUGGACCCUGCUGCGGACCUUGCUGCGGACCCUGCUGUGGUCCAUGCGGACCCUGCUGCGGUCCAUGCGGAGGAGGAUGUGGACCCUGCUAUGGACCGAAUGUCUGCGGACCUUGCUAUGCCUGUGGACCCUGUGGCGGUUGCUACUGUGGAUAUCCCUGCUGCUAGAUAGUUGCACCUGGUCAUCGCCAAGAGGGGUUCCCCAGAACACCAGGACAAUACGGUAGUACUACUGUCUAUUCCAUCCUCGAGGCCACCCAGCUUGCGUCUGGUAUUCAUCUAAUGUUCGUGAACCACAAUGAAGUAUUUGAGACGAAAUAAAAAUGAAGUGUAAGCUUCAAAA
RNAcentral lists this small RNA (485 nucleotides) under Drosophila yakuba. Its description in RNAcentral is "GE24414". The record is from RNAcentral. Lineage: Eukaryota; Metazoa; Arthropoda; Insecta; Diptera; Drosophilidae.